This 94-nucleotide non-coding RNA is filed under the name Palpitomonas bilix. The record is from RNAcentral.
AAAAAAAAAAAAAAAACAGAAAAAAAGAGAGGAGUAAACAGGUAAAAUGGAUUUCAUCUCAAAUGUGACCGCCAGCGAUGUGGCAGUGUUUUUU